GCGGGCGCGGGCACGAGCGCGAACGCGAAUGCGAGCGUUUUUUGGCCGAAUAAUUCGGGCUCGCGAAUUAUUCGUGAAUAAGUAUUUUUUAUUAAAAAAACUCGAUUUUUUCAGAAUUUUUUGGAAAAAUAUGAAUACGGCCGUUUAAUUCGUUUCUUCAAACAUUCGCAAAUAAUUCACGAAUUAACCAACAUAGCGCGAGACUUGUGACGGGCGAGCGUGCGUUUUUUUGGGCGAAUUAUUCGCGAAUAUUUAUUUUUGAUAAAAAAAAAUGUCACAUUUUUUUUCGAAUUUUUUGAAAAAAUACUUAUUCUAUUGAUUUAUUCGUUUCUUCAAAAAUUCGCAAAUAAUUCACGAAUUAUUCGCGAAUUAACUAACUAUGGGGUAGAGUGGGUACCUGAUAUAUUUUACUUUCAACUGGCACUAUUAGUGCUCGGCCUUCCGCACAUAGUUAAUUUUGCAUUUUUAUAAGGCCAAUUUGUAUAAAAUAUUUCUUAGUUUUAAAAUUUUGCAAAAAUAGACUAGUAUUAUAAAUUUUGCAAAUUCAAUUCGAAUUUUUAAAAAACUAAACAAAAUAUUUUUAUUUCUUUCUCUCUCUCCUUUUUUUUCUCUCAUUCUUUUUUUUAAUUUAUUCUCUCCGAAGAGGGCGGUGCAGGCGGAGGCGACCCGUCUUGCCUCUGCCCCACGCGUCCUCCUUGCCUUCAACCCCGUCAAAACUGCGCUCACUACUGCCCUUUAGGAUGACCCGCCCCCCUUUCGGCCUACGCACCCUCACCCGCGCCCCUUCACCCCCCACCCUCUUCGCCUCCAACCCCGUUGAGGUCACACCGCAACCCUUUUUUUCUUUCUGUCCAACCCUCCUCCACCACCUCUGCGGCCCUUCUCGAGGUAAUUUCAGACUGUCUUUAUUAAUUUUAUAUAUCUCGAUCAAAUUUUUUAGAAACUAAUCAAUAUUGUUGUGCUAUCUUUUAUAUCACUUCUUUCUUUCUUUCUCCUUCUGCUUCUUCUACCUUUUCCUUUACUAUUCGCAUGUCAUCGUCGUGCCACUCCCUCUAUCUCCCUCACAUCUCCACUAUUGCCGACACAAGCAUUGUGGCUCAAAUGCCACACAGACCGGAAAGGAUAAGGGCGUAGAUAAUUAAACAGUUUGAAGUUGCAUGACAUAGCAAGAUGCCGGAACUUGGGAGGGGAGAAGGGGAUAGGAAGAAAAGGAAGGACAUGUCUUCUCCAUCUUCCUCUUAUUUUAUUUUUUAAAUUCUUUCUUCAAUAAAAAAUUAAAAUAUUGCACUAUUUAACUAUACAUUGCACUAGUAGAUUAUAAAAC
RNAcentral lists this long non-coding RNA (1324 nucleotides) under Ananas comosus (pineapple). RNAcentral describes it as "long non-coding RNA (ACOM_LNC032514)". Lineage: Eukaryota; Viridiplantae; Streptophyta; Magnoliopsida; Poales; Bromeliaceae. The record is from RNAcentral.